GAAUAUUGGGCAAUGGUCGGAAGACUGACCCAGCCAUGCCGCGUGCAGGAAGACGGCCUAUUGGGUUGUAAACUGCUUUUGUACGGGAAGAAAAGGCCACUGCGGUGGACAUUGCCGGUACCGUACGAAUAAGCACCGGCUAACUCCGUGCCAGCAGCCGCGGUAAUACGGAGGGUGCAAGCGUUGUCCGGAUUUAUUGGGUUUAAAGGGUGCGUAGGCGGCUUUUUAAGUCAGCGGUGAAAGUUUCAGGCUCAACCUGGAGACUGCCGUUGAUACUGGGGAGCUUGAGUUACGGAGGGGUACAUGGAAUUUAUGGUGUAGCGGUGAAAUGCAUAGAUACCAUAAGGAACACCGAUAGCGAAGGCAUUGUACCGGCCGUCGACUGACGCUGAGGCACGAAAGCGUGGGUAGCGAACAGG
RNAcentral lists this ribosomal RNA (419 nucleotides) under uncultured bacterium. RNAcentral describes it as "bacterial SSU rRNA". It matches the Rfam family "Bacterial small subunit ribosomal RNA", at positions 359 to 776 of the family's 1533-position model. The record is from RNAcentral.